AACCAUUCUCACCUGCGGCUAGACCUGCGGAAGGAUCAUUACUGAGUGUAAAAACUCCCAAACCCACUGUGAACAUACCACUGUUGCUUCGGCGGAUGCGCCCCGGGCGCGCCCUACAAAGGCGUGCCCCGGAUCAAGGCCACCGCCGGGGGACCGAAACUCUUGUUUUCCUAAGGAUUCUCUGAGUGUGAUUAUUAAAUCAAAUCAAAACUUUUAACAACGGAUCUCAGAUCGGAAGAG
Molecule: unclassified non-coding RNA, 240 nt
Filed under: soil metagenome
Description: partial contains 5.8S ribosomal RNA, internal transcribed spacer 2, and large subunit ribosomal RNA
Source: RNAcentral